AGAUGUGGGUUAGUCCGCACGAGCGCACCCUAUCCUUAGUUGCCAGCACGUAAUGGUGGGAACUCUAAGGAGACUGCCGGUGAUAAACCGGAGGAAGGUGGGGACGACGUCAAGUCAUCAUGGCCCUUACGUGUAGGGCUACACACGUGCUACAAUGGCGCAUACAGAGUGCUGCGAACCUGCGAAGGUAAGCGAAUCACUUAAAGUGCGUCGUAGUCCGGAUUGGAGUCUGCAACUCGACUCCAUGAAGUCAGAAUCGCUAGUAAUCGCGGAUCAGAAUGCCGCGGUGAAUACGUUCCCGGGCCUUGUACACACCGCCCGUCACACCAUGGGAGUGGGUUGCUCCAGAAGUGGAUAGUCUAACCUUAGGGAGGACGUUCACCACGGAGUGAUUCAUGACUGGGGUGAAGUCGUAACAAGGUAGCCCUAGGGGAACCUGGGGCUGGAUCACCUCCUU
Molecule: ribosomal RNA, 457 nt
Filed under: uncultured Pseudoalteromonas sp.
Lineage: Bacteria; Pseudomonadati; Pseudomonadota; Gammaproteobacteria; Alteromonadales; Pseudoalteromonadaceae
Description: bacterial SSU rRNA
Rfam family: Bacterial small subunit ribosomal RNA
Source: RNAcentral